CCUACGGGAGACAGCAGUGGGGAAUAUUGGGCAAUGGGCGCAAGCCUGACCCAGCAACGCCGCGUGAAGGUAGAAGGCCUACGGGUUGUAAACUUCUUUUCUCAGGGACGAAGCAUGUGACGGUAUCUGAGGAAUAAGCUACGGCUAACUACGUGUAAGCAGCCGGGGUAAUAUGGAGGCGGCAAGCGUUAUCCGGAUUUACUGGGUGGAAGGGGCGUGUAGGCGGGGACGCAAGUCAGCUGUGAAAACCACGGGCUCAACCGGUGGCCUGCAUUUGAAACUGUGUUGCUUGAGUUCUGGAGAGGCAGACGGAAUGCCUGGUGUAGCGGUGAAAUGCGUAGAUAUUA
Molecule: ribosomal RNA, 347 nt
Filed under: uncultured bacterium
Lineage: Bacteria
Description: partial 16S ribosomal RNA
Rfam family: Bacterial small subunit ribosomal RNA
Source: RNAcentral